CACAGAAAGACACUAUGUAGCCACCAGAAGAGUAAGAGGUCGGGACCCUUUCUCCGGUAAAGUAAACAGCAUUUCACAGUUCCUGCCAAGAUGUACAGAUCUGGGCCUGAUGCCUAAGUGGUGUUGAAUGAAUGAACUAAGUCCCGAGUUAAGUGUAUUCUUGACAUGAACAUAGCCGUGUAAAGGACCCCAGUGCCUUAGACCCAUGGGAAUAACAAGGCCUUCCCCUGGUCGAGCACAGAUGCUGACAGCAUGUGCAGAAAGCAUCAAGCACAGCUUCUUUCUCCAGGAUGACACGGCCUGAUACUGCUCCCCAGCAACUCCUGCGGACAUGAGCUACCCUGCCCACCAUCCCAGGAUCUGCAAUAAGCACAUCAGAUUUCCCGGCCAUUGGUGCAUCUCCAUCAGAGCCCAGCAACCACCCUAUCUCAGGGUGCCUGUCAUUUCUUCAUUCCCCAUGGCCUGGUCAGAUCAGUCCCAAAGCCCUGCAUGUCAUGGCAAUGUUGGACAAGUUCCUCACCUACCCUGCCGUUCUGUACUCACUCCUUGGAGAACUGGAGAUGAUGAUAAUGAUUACAUGAGAAGCACUUCACACACCACCCAGUAUAUUACAAACACUCCUAAGAGCCAAUCACUGCUAUCUGCCUCUCUCUAAAAACGCUCAGAAAAAGGCAGGAUUGCCAGGCAACUCCCAGGGUGCUAACAAUCUGGCCAGCACAUUGGUCACACAGUGGAACUUAGUUUCAAGUAUCAGCCUGGGAGUUGGCCCGUGUUGUGUUUGUUUACAUUCCUCUACCCUCCAGCCCCUGGCAUCUGGGUCCCCGGGUGUUACUAGUAAAUAAAAUGAUUUCCUCAUUCCA
Molecule: long non-coding RNA, 860 nt
Organism: Mesocricetus auratus (golden hamster)
Lineage: Eukaryota; Metazoa; Chordata; Mammalia; Rodentia; Cricetidae
Exons: 2
Source: RefSeq, a predicted model, not a curated record